AUAUGCUUACAACAUAGUGUUAAUUUACCAGAUCCCAUUAGAACUCCACAGUUAAGCAUGCUCAGACUAGAGUAGCACUGGGAUGGGUUAACACCUGGGAAGUCCUAGUAUUUUACAUGCC
Picea glauca (white spruce) is the source of this 121-nucleotide non-coding RNA. The record is from Rfam. NCBI's taxonomy places the organism in Eukaryota, Viridiplantae, Streptophyta, Pinopsida, Pinales, Pinaceae.